GGAGCCUCCCCGCUGCCGGCCCGGGGGCGGCCCGGUGUCCCCGCAGCCCCAGAGCCGCCCGGCCGCCAGCAGGGCGCGCUGCCCCCGGUGCGCGGGGAGCCGUGGCCGCAGCACGGCUAGUCCGCCCGCCCGGCCCCUCCUUACCCGAGACACUCGAUGGUUGGAGCCCGAUAUACAGCGUUGUAAACCUCCGAACUGCGCAACAGCUAAGGGGGGCUUGAGCUGCCACCUUUCUGACCCUAAAAAAGAAAGAAAAAAAGAACCCUAUGCAGAAAAGCCUGUUUAUGUACAUUUUCCUAAGCUACAGUCACUAAGGAGCAGCUAAGCUCCAGCCCCAACACCGUGACUCAACCGGGGCUGUACCACCCUAUCAUAAGAGUCACCUCAAACCAUCUGCGACUCACUUCCCCAGUCUUUCUGGACCAGCCACAGCAGAGCCUGGGAAGGAAUUCCGCCGGUGAUUCUCAGAGGUAAUUUUGAAAGAGGAACGGGACCUUUACAUGAGAAAUAGUUGACAGCCACAGAAAGGAGAGAACCGAUGCAGGUGGAACAGAGCCAUUCCUGAUGAGAGUGGUGAAAGUUGCUGAUCAACCAGAUGUGACCAAAUGGACUUUUUGUGUCGAAACUGCCAGAGCCUUCAAACUCCCCAAGCAUCACCAAUAUACAGCCAUCCUGACAAGCACAGUAAACUACUCCGUACAUUCCCCACCCAGACCAGCUUUAUGGGCAAGCCACAAAAUUAAUUGCUUCAGGCUCUGGGGUGUAGAACAGAGGCACCUUGCCAACUUCAGUAGCAGUACAAGACCUUCAGUGUGCAGGUGGUGCGUCUUCAGCCCAGAGACCUGACAAGCCUAACUCCAUCUCUGUGGCUGCUGUUUCUCCAGCAUUUCUCGUCAACUGUGACAAGACUCUGAAGAUGCAGUAACAUCUUUCCUCCUCCUCCAGCCCAACAGUAUGGUCGACAUUGGAUUGUCAGUUAUGCUGAAUUAUACUGGAUCACUUGUGGUUMUGCACUGAUGUAGACAAAUACCAAUUCAAGAUCAAGGGUGAACCCUGGCCACUAAACUUGUUUCACUUGUGACUCAUUCCAGACUUAAGACCUGGCUCUUGCUGUCAUUUUAUUAACUCAAUUUGUGAUCUUCCUAACCCCCAUUAUCCAACCCAGGCAGAUUAUUUGCUUUGAAAAAAUGUGUAGAUAGUUUCCAUGCGAAUCAUAAGUAGAUCCAGGUGCCAUAGCUAGGUUCCAGAGAGAGCUGUAGUCAUGAGAUAUACGUACUGGUCAAAUAACUUCUUUCCUAGACACUCUUAAACUCAGUGACAUUCUCCUCAUUUAGAUAGUCUGGACUCUUAACUCCUGAAAAGCGGCAAGAAGCCUGGCACCAGUCUGGUAGAAUACCUAAGUACAUACCUUCAGGCACGUGUGUGGUCCUGAGAUCAGCAAGAGUAAAUUUAAGCAUAAAGUUAAGCACAUACUAAGAUGUACUCUUACUUUGGAGUCAAAAAAGUUACCUGUCUUAAGCCACCCCCAGCAAGUCUUUACAUCUGGUCCAAACUAAAGCAUCCAAGUCAAAAAAAUAGCUUGCUGAAUUCCAGAGAAUUCAUAAUUUCCAGUUUGCAAGCUUGAGGAGAGAAAUCUAGGAAGCAUCAAUAAAUCCACUUUGACAACAGAGUAAAGAGCUGCA
Molecule: long non-coding RNA, 1682 nt
Organism: Apteryx rowi (Okarito brown kiwi)
Lineage: Eukaryota; Metazoa; Chordata; Aves; Apterygiformes; Apterygidae
Source: Ensembl